CUACAUCUAACUAUACUUACCAGGCUCUUUUCCUGAUGGGGCCCAAUGUGAAAUGACUUCAAACAACUGCCUUUUUGGUACUGUACAUAGCCUGUAUGUAAAAUGGGCAGCGAUAAGGGAUCCAGGUUUCAGAU
Suncus etruscus (white-toothed pygmy shrew) is the source of this 134-nucleotide small nucleolar RNA. RefSeq annotates it as small nucleolar RNA SNORA70. Lineage: Eukaryota; Metazoa; Chordata; Mammalia; Eulipotyphla; Soricidae. The transcript has a single exon. The record is from RefSeq and is a predicted model, not a curated record.